UCUUAUUUCUGAUGUAUAUGGAAAGUGGCCGACAAAGUCGCAGCUGCUGGAUUCUUUGUGGCCGUUCCUGACUUCUUGAAGGGGGAUCCUUUUGUUCGUGCAGAUACUAAAAGGCCUAUGAGCGUUUGGAUUAAAGAUCAUAGCACGCCAAGGCUGCAAUUCAACUCGCAAAGUGCGACUCUAUUAAGGCUGCUGCCCUCUUACAUCUAUCUUACGUCACUGUGGAUGACAUCAAAGGUUCAGAUCACUUCCAGGACUUGUCAACCAGACCCAAAGGGAUAUCAUAGAAUGUGAGAAUUUUGUCUUCUGGACAAGUGCACAAAGAAUGAUGAAUUGAAGGAUGGAGCAAGUUUCAUGCAUGGUUUACUUUUGUGUAUCUUGUAAUGUUUUUGUUUUUCAUUUUUGAAGUAAAAAAUGUUCAAGAAACUUUAUUAUGUUAUGCUUUCAAACUUAAGUUAGAACUAAGAUCUCAUGAAGUAGACAUAUUCAUGGUUUGAAUUAGUUAUUGUUUAAUGUAAUACUUAUGGUUUAUCAAUAUAUUGAGAAUUACAUUUUAU
This is a long non-coding RNA of Humulus lupulus (European hop), 557 nucleotides long. RefSeq lists it as uncharacterized. The record is from RefSeq and is a predicted model, not a curated record. NCBI's taxonomy places the organism in Eukaryota, Viridiplantae, Streptophyta, Magnoliopsida, Rosales, Cannabaceae. The transcript has 4 exons.